RNAcentral lists this ribosomal RNA (253 nucleotides) under uncultured bacterium. RNAcentral's name for it is "partial 16S ribosomal RNA". It matches the Rfam family "Bacterial small subunit ribosomal RNA", at positions 524 to 776 of the family's 1533-position model. The record is from RNAcentral.
UACGGGGGGGGCAAGCGUUGUUCGGAAUUACUGGGCGUAAAGGGCUCGUAGGCGGCCAACUAAGUCAGACGUGAAAUCCCUCGGCUUAACCGGGGAACUGCGUCUGAUACUGGAUGGCUUGAGUUUGGGAGAGGGAUGCGGAAUUCCUGGUGUAGCGGUGAAAUGCGUAGAUAUCAGGAGGAACACCGGUGGCGAAGGCGGUUCUCUGGGCAUGUCCUGACGCUGAGGAGCGAAAGUGUGGGGAGCGAACAGG